UAAGGAAUAUUGGUCAAUGGAGGCAACUCUGAACCAGCCAUGCCGCGUGCAGGAAGACAGCCCUAUGGGUCGUAAACUGCUUUUGUACGGGAACAAACCUCUCCUCGUGAGGAGAGCUGAGCGUACCGUAAGAAUAAGGAUCGGCUAACUCCGUGCCAGCAGCCGCGGUAAUACGGAGGAUCCGAGCGUUAUCCGGAUUUAUUGGGUUUAAAGGGAGCGUAGGCGGCCUGUUAAGUCAGGGGUGAAAGACGGUGUCUCAACCAUCGCAGUGCCUUUGAUACUGACGGGCUUGAAUGUAGUUGAGGUGGGCGGAAUGUGACAAGUAGCGGUGAAAUGCAUAGAUAUGUCACAGAACACCGAUUGCGAAGGCAGCUCACUAAGCUAUGAUUGACGCUGAAGCACGAAAGUGUGGGGAGCAAACA
Molecule: ribosomal RNA, 422 nt
Filed under: uncultured prokaryote
Description: bacterial SSU rRNA
Rfam family: Bacterial small subunit ribosomal RNA
Source: RNAcentral